Long non-coding RNA from Eptesicus fuscus (big brown bat), 247 nucleotides. RefSeq lists it as uncharacterized. Lineage: Eukaryota; Metazoa; Chordata; Mammalia; Chiroptera; Vespertilionidae. The transcript has 3 exons. The record is from RefSeq and is a predicted model, not a curated record.
GGAAGAGAGGAUGGAAGCUCAACUAGAAUAAGAGGGGAGUUUGAAAAUGCUAAAACUGUGGGGAAGCAAAAUACAAUUCUGGGAGCAAUGAGUCAUUGACAUUUCUAGGAUAAGGAUCAAGUGACUCGCUUCUUGGACAGUUGAGCCAUUUAAAUAUACAAUCCAUCUACAGUUCCGGGUCAUUUUGGAGCACAAGCAGGAUGGAGAUGAAAUGCACCAAAUCCCUGGGAAAUUUAAGUGGCAAGGC